UCAACUAUACUUCAAUAAAAUAAAUAAACAAAUAAACAUGAGAUGGCUCAGCUAUCAUCUUUGGGCUCCAACAGAGCCCCUGUACAACUUAGUUAUUUGUGUCGAAGUUGUGCAGGGGGGAUGGAGAUAAGGCGGAGGCAGUGUGCCCGGGGCUGCCAGGAGGAGCAGAGUGGGCGCGGAAUCGUGGCGGCGCGUCUGGGGAGGAACACUGGGCAUCACAGCAAAUGCAGUGUGGUGGGCCCCACGGUUCAUCUCCCUCUGUCCCCACAGGCCACACCCUGACCUCUGCUCCUCCAGCCCCGAUCAGAAGACCGACUGCAACAUCUCAGACCGCUCCUGUUCCCACCUCGUGUGGGGUUCCCUCCCCUGCAGCCUGCCAAGUGUCCCCAGACCGCAGUCCUCUUGAGGACCCUGCCCGGGGUCCUCGGGACCAGUGUCCCUGCCGCCUCCACCGGUCCUUCGGUUCAGCGAAGGGCCAAGAGGCUUCCCAGCCUCCCUUUUCCCGGAAGUGCGGAGACUCUCCAAGGAUCUGGCUGGGGACGGGCGUGGUUAAGUAGCCUGGUCCCGCCCACAUUUGUAGAACGACAGCUCCGCACAAGAUGCGAGGCCUGCGGCGUGCAAUCUCAGCAAGGGACAGGUCGAGAGGAUGGGAACUUAGAAGGACCACAGAAAAUGGGAGGUUUGAGCUGAUGUGAGCCUUUUUGCGGAGAAGAUAUUCAAAAUCUAGGAAGGAGGAUGACAUUGCAAGCGCCCCAGGAGAAGCCGGCUGCUACUUUCCCUGUUCCUUCCCUGCCUUCAGGAUUCCUGCCCUUGCCUUCGUGAUGAAGCACCAUCACUGCUGAUGAUACAGGUGUCUGUCCCCCCACUAGAAGAGUCUACCAGCUCUGGAAAAGUCCUCGCCAACCAGGUGGUAAGUAUUAUAUCAGUUAUCGUCUCGUGAGAGUUGAAGCCAGCCUUGUUCUGUACUCCCAGAGGAUGGGAAGGAUAGAACCUUCACCAUCUCAGCCAUGAUGCUUGGUGCCCAAUUUGGAGGAAAAUACCAGAUCCCCUUAAGAACUGGUCUGAUACUGACCCAGUGACUGGUGUGUGCUCUAACUAUGAAUAGGAAGGCUAUGGGCUUAUUGUUUUUUUAACUAUCUAUUUUUUAAACGAAUCACUAAUUUAUUCGAACAGGUAAUAUACAUACACAGCACAAAAUUCACACGGUAUCCGGUGAAAGGGUGUAGAGUGACAAAUAAGUCUUCUUCCUACCCCUUCACCAAGUCCCCUUCCCCAGAGGCAACCACCGUUAUCAGAGUUUAUUUUAGUUCUAAAGAGAGUUAAGGGGCUCAGCCUGAAAAUGGAAUUAGGAAGCUGUGUAAUGUCGUGAUUAGGACUUGGAAUCAGGCCGACUCCGUUCAAAGCCAGGCUGCACCACAUCCUGACCCAGAGCCCAGACACCAGCAGGAUUUAUCCCCUUGGAGUGUUGAGAUAAUUAACUGAGCAAAGCACAGCCCCUGGCACAUAUUUACAUUCAAUAAACAUCAGCGCUUCUAAGCGAUUGGGCGACUGAGUGUGGAGAAGGAGGGUGGAAAGGGAUGGGCGGGGCAUAUUGACUGCUCUCUGGGGAAAGCCUUCAGCCUUCGCGACUCUAAGUGUGGUCCCUGGAAAUCCCUGGGAGUGUUAGAAAUGCAUGAUCCCAGGCCUUCCCCAGACCUGCCCAAUGAGAAGCUGCUGCCAGACAAGCUCCACAGGUGAUGUUCAUGUGUGUUACAGUUUGAGAAGCACCGCCCUAUGCAAGCCCAGGAAUCCUUGAGGGAAUGGGCUGUAGAACCCCUGCCUCUGAGGAGCCAGUGAUGCUGUUUCUCACCCUUCAGACUAGGAGCCUCUUAGACUUCUCAGGAUGAAAAUUCAGGAGGAAAACACGUUUAAGAGAAAAGCCACUUCCCCUCCCAGUCCCCAGCUAUUCCACGUCCGAUUUCCCAAGCCCGGUCACCUGUGACCUCCAGUGCGGCUAGAAUGUGUCCUCUUUUGUCCUGUAGCUUGACAGCAACCCGAUAGAGGGCUUGGGGGCAGGGUGGCAUGUUGUUUUGAGAGAUACAAGAGACACAGUGGAGCCUGCCCAGCAAGCUGCAGGGCUGCCAGGAUGCCAACUGGGAGGCAAAGGUCCUGGC
Kogia breviceps (pygmy sperm whale) is the source of this 2153-nucleotide long non-coding RNA. RefSeq lists it as uncharacterized. The record is from RefSeq and is a predicted model, not a curated record. NCBI's taxonomy places the organism in Eukaryota, Metazoa, Chordata, Mammalia, Artiodactyla, Physeteridae.